AGAUAAUUGAGUGAUAAUCAGAUGGCAAGAAUUUAUCUCAAACUGAAUCAGAUUCAGCGGCAGAUCUGAAAGUUGAUGAAACCAAAGAGAGUCUCGCAACGUCAUGUGGUGUUAGAGAACGUUUUCAAUGCAACCUUCAGGAAGUGGAUUGAAGGGAAGCUUAGCGGUUAAGUCUGGAGUUUCGUUAUAUCUCUUUGCUCACUUUUAGUUUAAGCUAAAAACUGAAGUAGUAAUGCCUGCUGAUAGUUAUCUAUUAUUAUUUCCUUCAAAAUCAUUUCUUAGAAUCAAAUAGGUUUUUAAAAGGGCCGGUGGAUGUCUGCUUGUGUUUUUAUUGCAUUAUGUUAGGAUACUUUGGAGCCAAUAUAAUUUUGAAGUUUGAUAUUUAAAAAGGGUUUUGAAACUAUUGUGAUUAGAGCUUUCCUUUUGAUAGUUUUUUUUUUUAUAGCUUUUGGCUUUGAUCCUAAGUUUUUACGGUCUGCAAAACUAGUACUCUCAAUUAUGAGAAUUGUUGUUGACACAUUGCAUAAAGCUGAAGCACACGAAUAAAAUAUAUUUUUUCUUUUA
Molecule: long non-coding RNA, 564 nt
Organism: Medicago truncatula (barrel medic)
Lineage: Eukaryota; Viridiplantae; Streptophyta; Magnoliopsida; Fabales; Fabaceae
Exons: 2
Source: RefSeq, a predicted model, not a curated record